GACAGAGGUGCCAAGCGUUAGGCGGAAUCACUGGGCUUAAAGCGUGUGUAGGCGGAAUGGUAAGUACCUUGUGAAAUCCCACGGCUCAACCGUGGAACUGCUGGGUAUACUGCCCUUCUUGAGCCACUUAGGGGCUGUCGGAACAAACGGUGGAGCGGUGAAAUGCGUAGAUAUCAGGAAGAACACCCGUGGCGCAAGCGACCACCUGGCCGAGACCUGACGCUGAGGCACGAGAGCGUGGGGAGCGAACGGG
Molecule: ribosomal RNA, 253 nt
Filed under: uncultured bacterium
Lineage: Bacteria
Description: partial 16S ribosomal RNA
Rfam family: Bacterial small subunit ribosomal RNA
Source: RNAcentral